Molecule: non-coding RNA, 3524 nt
Organism: Oncorhynchus mykiss (rainbow trout)
Lineage: Eukaryota; Metazoa; Chordata; Actinopteri; Salmoniformes; Salmonidae
Source: RefSeq, a predicted model, not a curated record
GUUCUACCUAUGUGAAGUGUUUUGGGACAACUUGUCUUUACAUAAUAUAUGUCUUAUGUCUACGGUAUGUUUCAUGUCCUGUUUUUCUCUAGUUCUGGUGUUAUUGGGAGUAUUGAUGUCCAGUAGCAAUAGAGAGUGCUCCAGCCAUCCCAAACAAGAACAAUGUUUUCCCUCUGAGUCACUCCAAACAAUGAGCCUUGACUGAACAGCUGUGUCUGCAUAUUCCAACCAGCCUCCACAUCUGCUGCUUUGCCUGCUUCUCUCUGACGCAAACAGCAUGCAACCAAAGUCUGCACAGCCAUUCCUCAUGUUCACUUACUUCAUCAAAACCGCCUUUCGUUAUGGAGAUCAGACUAUUGUCUUCCAUAUCAGUCUCAUCUGUAUUGCAUGGUGAACAGUAGGUCAUCUUUUCCCCCGGUCAGUGCUGAGGUGGUGACGGCUUCUCUCCCCUCUCUUUCUCCCUUCAGGGUUGGUCUGACUUGGGAGCAGCCAGAGGACAGCCAGAGGACACUCCAGAUGUCUGGGGAGACAUCUGGAGGCCCCGCCGCUGCGGGCCAGGGACGGGCACCCGGUUACGCUCGCUACCAGUCUGGCUGUGGUGGGGAGGGUUCCUGGCACAGUGAUUUGGUGCACAAAUAUAAACGAAAAUCACAUUGCCAGGGAUUUCCACCCUUACACAGGCAGCUCUCCAGGUGACCCAGGUGGCAUCGGUAUGUUCUGCCCGUCAGGGUACGUCGUUUCUGUUUCCCGAUCUUGGCCCUCUAUGGUCUAUGGAAACAAGAUCAUGUAAAAUAAUACUCAACUCCAGAUAAAAGCUGUUUUCAGCUCUCACACAGGGAUUUACAGAUUACUUCCUGGUAUUAGCUCCUUACAAAUGGGAACUGUGGGAAACUGAGCCUACUUUGGCAGCCUUUACUUAUAGACAUAAGGAGUGGAUAGAUCCAAAGUGCAAAGAGUGUUUUACCUUCUAUAGAAGUCUACAAAGUACUUCCAGCCUUAGAGGAAUCAAUCAACGUUCCUCCAGACUGCCAGUAAAAGUCUAUUUUCCUCAUGUGCAUCCUGUAGUGAGCAGCCACUUGCUAAAGGCACAGAGCUUAGCUAAUUGGUGAGCAUUGAUCCCUCUUAUGUGUUGUUCACAGUGGCUAAGUUCAGUGCCUGCGGUGAAAUAGUUGAUGCAGCAGGAUGUGCUCCAAACGAUGGCGAUGAACGAGUACUGGCUGAGUUCUGAGAUGUGAAGACGAAGGAAGAAGGUGGGAAGAGAGGGAGAGAUAAUGAUGGAGGAGUGAGGUGUUGCGUGGGCAUGGAGACAGAGGCAACAGCGGGAUACAGCACGAUCCCCGUAAAGAGCAGAGGAAAGAAGGCUGCUGGGGGAAUGUCAGGCCAGCCCUGGCAUGCCCAGUUCCACACUCCAUCUCAGUCAGUCAGUCAGAGCACAGCGCCUGGCUUUGGCACUCGGCACUGGCACUGAUUUAUGUGGCAGAGGAUGGGGCACAGCUCACCUCACCUCCUCCCCAGAGCUGAGCUGGUGUGUGGGCUAUGCUGCACUCUUGUCACACUCUGAGCUGGUGUGUGGGCUAGGCUGCCCUCUUGUCACACUCUGAGCUGGUGUGUGGGCUAGGCUGCCCUCUUGUCAUACUCUGAGCUGGUGUGUGGGCUAGGCUGCCCUCUUGUCACACUCUGAGCUGGUGUGUGGGCUAGGCUGCCCUCUUGUCACACUCUGAGCUGGUGUGUGGGCUAGUCUGCCCUCUUGUCAUACUCUGAGCUGGUGUGUGGGCUAGGCUGCCCUCUUGUCACACUCUGAGCUGGUGUGUGGGCUAGGCUGCCCUCUUGUCACACUCUGAGCUGGUGUGUGGGCUAGGCUGCCCUCUUGUCACACUCUGAGCUGGUGUGUGGGCUAGGCUGCCCUCUUGUCACACUCUGAGCUGGUGUGUGCGCUAGGCUGCCCUCUUGUCACACUCUGAGCUGGUGUGUGGGCUAGGCUGCCCUCUUGUCACACUCUGAGCUGUGGGGCUUGGUACUUGGUAUAGAACCAUACCAAGCUACCAUGCAACUCUGAGGCCAAAUUACGAGUGUGUGGAAUUCACUUUAUGAGUUGACAUACAUGCAAAACAUCUUGUGGGACAGUGGUCAACCCAUUUACGUGAGGCACAUUUGUGUUUGUGGUUAUCUCUGUCCCCUUGUCCAUUGGUCAGUUGGUUAAUUGUGGGUCAUUAUUAUAGAGUUCUUAUGGCCUAUUGUAAUGUUGUUUUGUCAAGAGGUUUAGACCUCUUGUGGUAACUGCUUAGUAAGGCCUUAAAUUGAAAGUUUCUCAGGGGUUACCCAUCAAAUUGGCUACAGUUUGUUCUGUGGUUUCCAUUCGGUCUCAAUGUAGAGUGGUAGAGUUUCUAAAGGGAUGGACGUGGAGGGUUUAAAUACUCUAUGGUUGGGGCUGUGCCCUCCUGUGCCUACUGAACUGGUAUCAGUUUGAACUCUGAGUACUGGCUCAGUUCAGCAGGAACAGGAGUGGAGCCCACUGUGUGCCAUUACGCCCUCCAAUCAGCAUGCAGAAAGACAUCCAGUACCGCAUUAGCCCUGCCCACCAGACCCCCAAGGGCUUGUGCCAUUGGCCUUGAUGAAACCCAACAUUCCUGUCAGCAUUAAACCCUGAGACAUCAGACAGAGGCAUUGCAGCCUGUGAGAGUUGAAUGUCCCUGCUUCAAGCAUGAAUGUUUCAUAACCAGAUUUAUCAUUAGGAACUGGCAGGCAGCAUGGAGAAGGUACAUUGAAUUUGCUGCAUACUGAUGCAGUUAUUCUCCUCAGACUUCAUGUUUAUUUCAGUAUGGCUUUUUUCCCCUUGACAAUGCCGCAACCAAGCACACACGCACUCUCUAGCUCUCUGAGCCGUCAGAGGGCAAACGGAGAAACUGAAGUUCAUUGUGCGGUAAUCCAAGCGAAAUGUCUGCUAUGUCCAUGUAAUUGACGUUACCUAGAGAGCCUCAUUUUCAGCUGAUUGGGAAUGUCUGCUAUUUUACUUUAUGCUCCCCUGCCACAGAGAUAAUGUCGCACGUUAUAAAUCAGGACUUUGGAAACAUUCUUCAUCUCAAGAUUUUUCACUCGUAGGAUAAAAGAGGUUCAUUAACCACACGAUCAAUCUCAGCUCGUCCAAUGGGCCGUGGAUUGUAGACGGCAUUUGCCGCCUCUUGACAUUUUUGCAAUGACUUUUAACCUUGAAGAGAUUACCUGAAUGAAACCUAGUUUUGUAAUAUGACAAGACUGGUGGAUUCUUGUCCUCCGGGCAUUGGUCCAAAUUCAUAUAUUUUUUUUUGUAUCUAUUAGGGGUAAAAACUAGCCUAAUCCAUCAGACAGGGGAUUAACAUCAAGCUACUACUUAAAAUGUCGCAUUUGUGGUUUCUUAACUCUGAGGCAUGCUGCUCUUCCUUUGUUGUCACAGGUAUGUCUUUCAUGCUGUUCUGUGAGUCACCACUUUUGCUGUAAAUCUCAUGUAAUCCUACCACAAAAUCCAUUAAUAAAAAAGUAUUACUUCA